GCCUCCGUGGCGCAAUCGGCUAGCGAGUUCGGCUGUUAACCGAAAGGUUGGUGGUUCGAGCCCACCUGGGGGCG
This 74-nucleotide transfer RNA is filed under the name Nephila pilipes (giant wood spider). It matches the Rfam family "tRNA". From Rfam's summary of the family: Transfer RNA (tRNA) molecules are approximately 80 nucleotides in length. Their secondary structure includes four short double-helical elements and three loops (D, anti-codon, and T loops). The record is from Rfam by way of RNAcentral. Lineage: Eukaryota; Metazoa; Arthropoda; Arachnida; Araneae; Nephilidae.